CAAAGGACUGAAAGAAGAAAAUUUCUAUCAUCUCUAUAAGGUGUUAUCCAGAAAAAAAAAAAAAGGAAAGAAAACGAAAACAGUCGAGGUUUUUUGGUUUCUAGAUCUGGUUUGUCUCCCCCCGAUCUCCAUCAUCUGGCUCUUCGAUCUGCUAGACGAGAUGAUCAGUCCUCAUGGAUCGAAUGACUUCAAGCUCGUUUCAGAUUGAAUUGUCCUUGGUCCUUACCGCUACAAGACACUGAUUUGGAGCGACGAAGUUGCAUGCAAUCUCAGCUCUCUCUCGAUCCUUCUUCCUCACACCAGUUUAUGUUCCACCAAUGGCUGUAUCUGGCUAUUCCAAUAAUCUUGCCUAUCCUCACAUGUCUAAUGGCAACACCUAUUUGCUGGUGCCUGCAUGUAGUUUAAGCCUGUACUUACUGGAAGUCCCAUGGGCUUUGGAAGGUUUACUAAUCCAACUGGUUAUGCAGUGAAUGCCCCUGGUGUAGUUGGAGCUGCCAUUGAGCUAGUUUUUGACUAGAAAUCAAAUGCAGAAUCACUAGGUCUAAGGCAAUUUCUUGAUUGUGGUGAACAUGAAAUUUGAUGGAGAGCUUAUAUAUUUGACAACCCAUCGGCGUACUUGGGCUCAUGGAAUUUUUUGGUUAUGUGAACAGAAUUAAAUUUCACCUCAUGGAGUGAAGGGUGGAGGUUAGAGAAGUACAAAAUUAGAAAGCCAACAUUGUUUGUUCUUUAGGUUUCUCAUAAAUGGUUACUAUCAGAUUUUAAACUUGAAUUUGUAGAUCUGACCUUUGUAUCAGUCUUAAAUUUUAUAUUCUUUACACCAAUUAAAUAGAUAAUUACUGCCUAACUAGAUCUUUCCAGCUUUUGAGGCCUAUUGUUAACUAAC
Long non-coding RNA from Rosa chinensis, 883 nucleotides. RefSeq lists it as uncharacterized. The transcript is spliced from 4 exons. The record is from RefSeq and is a predicted model, not a curated record. NCBI's taxonomy places the organism in Eukaryota, Viridiplantae, Streptophyta, Magnoliopsida, Rosales, Rosaceae.